This 460-nucleotide ribosomal RNA is filed under the name uncultured bacterium. RNAcentral describes it as "partial 16S ribosomal RNA". It matches the Rfam family "Bacterial small subunit ribosomal RNA", at positions 338 to 795 of the family's 1533-position model. The record is from RNAcentral.
CCUACGGGUGGCUGCAGUGAGGAAUAUUGGUCAAUGGGCGCGAGCCUGAACCAGCCACGUAGCGUGAAGGAUGACUGCCCUACGGGUUGUAAACUUCUUUUAUAAAGGAGUAAAGUGAGGCACGUGUGCCUUUUUGUAUGUACUUUAUGAAUAAGGAUCGGCUAACUCCGUGCCAGCAGCCGCGGUAAUACGGAGGAUCCGAGCGUUAUCCGGAUUUAAUGGGUUUAAAGGGAGCGUAGAUGGGUUGUUAAGUCAGUUGUGAAAGUUUGCGGCUCAACCGUAAAAUUGCAUUUGAUACUGGCAGUCUUGAGUACAGUAGAGGUAGGCGGAAUUCGUGGUGUAGCGGUGAAAUGCGUAGAGAUCACGAAGAACUCCGAUUGCGAAGGCAGCUUACUAAACUGCCACUGACAUUGAUGCUCGAAAGCGUGGGGAGCAAACAGGAUUAGAUACCCUGGUAGUC